Molecule: ribosomal RNA, 722 nt
Filed under: uncultured bacterium
Lineage: Bacteria
Description: bacterial SSU rRNA
Rfam family: Bacterial small subunit ribosomal RNA
Source: RNAcentral
CUGCCUCACACAGGGGGAUAACAGUUAGAAAUGACUGCUAAUACCGCAUAAGACCCCAGCACCGCAUGGUGCAGUGGUAAAAACUCCGGUGGUGUGAGAUGGACCCGCGUCUGAUUAGGUAGUUGGUGAGGUAACGGCUCACCAAGCCGACGAUCAGUAGCCGGCCUGAGAGGGUGGACGGCCACAUUGGGACUGAGACACGGCCCAAACUCCUACGGGAGGCAGCAGUGGGGAAUAUUGCACAAUGGGGGAAACCCUGAUGCAGCGACGCCGCGUGAGCGAAGAAGUAUUUCGGUAUGUAAAGCUCUAUCAGCAGGGAAGAAACUGACGGUACCUGACUAAGAAGCACCGGCUAAAUACGUGCCAGCAGCCGCGGUAAUACGUAUGGUGCAAGCGUUAUCCGGAUUUACUGGGUGUAAAGGGAGCGUAGACGGAUAGGCAAGUCUGGAGUGAAAACCCGGGGCUCAACCCCGGGACUGCUUUGGAAACUGUUUAUCUAGAGUGCUGGAGAGGUAAGUGGAAUUCCUAGUGUAGCGGUGAAAUGCGUAGAUAUUAGGAGGAACACCAGUGGCGAAGGCGGCUUACUGGACAGUAACUGACGUUGAGGCUCGAAAGCGUGGGGAGCAAACAGGAUUAGAUACCCUGGUAGUCCACGCCGUAAACGAUGACUGCUAGGUGUCGGGUGGCAAAGCCAUUCGGUGCCGCAGCUAACGCAAUAAGCA